AGUGAACGCUGGCGGUAGGCCUAACACAUGCAAGUCGAACGGCAGCACAGUAAGAGCUUGCUCUUACGGGUGGCGAGUGGCGGACGGGUGAGGAAUACAUCGGAAUCUACUUUUUCGUGGGGGAUAACGUAGGGAAACUUACGCUAAUACCGCAUACGACCUGCGGUUGAAAGCAGGGGAUCUUCGGACCUUUCGCGAUUGAAUGAGCCGAUGUCGGAUUAGCUAGUUGGCGGGGUAAAGGCCCACCAAGGCGAGGAUCCGUAGCUGGUCUGAGAGGAUGAUCAGCCACACUGGAACUGAGACACGGUCCAGACUCCUACGGGAGGCAGCAGUGGGGAAUAUUGGACAAUGGGCGCAAGCCUGAUCCAGUCAUACCGAGUGGGUUAAGAAGGCCUUCGGGUUGUAAAGCCCUUUUGUUGGGAAAGAAAGGCAGCAGGUUAAUAACCAGCUGUUCUGACGGUACCCAAAGAAUAAGCACCGGCUAACUUCGUG
RNAcentral lists this ribosomal RNA (492 nucleotides) under uncultured bacterium. RNAcentral describes it as "partial 16S ribosomal RNA". It matches the Rfam family "Bacterial small subunit ribosomal RNA", at positions 29 to 507 of the family's 1533-position model. The record is from RNAcentral.